UUGUAAUUAUCCUGGUGAGCAUAAUCCCGUUUCAGAGGAAAAAACUAAUGAGGCUGAUGAUGAUCGCUCACAAAGUCAUGUGGAUCGCUGUGUCUUUCAUGGCAACAGCAUUCAUCUCAGCGACAUGGGUGAUCAUGCCACAUGCUCACAGAACAGGAUGCAUGCUUGAAGUUAUCUUGGCCAUUGGUGCUGGGAGCAAGGCAACUGUGUUUAUCUAUCUGGGC
Molecule: unclassified non-coding RNA, 224 nt
Filed under: Hevea brasiliensis (rubber tree)
Lineage: Eukaryota; Viridiplantae; Streptophyta; Magnoliopsida; Malpighiales; Euphorbiaceae
Source: RNAcentral